UGGGGAAUUUUGGACAAUGGACGCAAGUCUGAUCCAGCCAUGCCGCGUGCGGGAAGAAGGCCUUCGGGUUGUAAACCGCUUUUGUCAGGGAAGAAAAGGCUCCGGAUAAUACCUGGGGCUCAUGACGGUACCUGAAGAAUAAGCACCGGCUAACUACGUGCCAGCAGCCGCGGUAAUACGUAGGGUGCGAGCGUUAAUCGGAAUUACUGGGCGUAAAGCGUGCGCGGGCGGUUAUGUAAGACAGUUGUGAAAUCCCCGGGCUCAACCUGGGAAUUGCAUCUGUGACGGCAUAGCUAGAGUACGGUAGAGGGGGAUGGAAUUCCGCGUGUAGCAGUGAAAUGCGUAGAUAUGCGGAGGAACACCGAUGGCGAAGGCAAUCCCCUGGGCCUGCACUGACGCUCAUGCACGAAAGCGGGGGGAGCAAACA
RNAcentral lists this ribosomal RNA (427 nucleotides) under uncultured bacterium. RNAcentral describes it as "bacterial SSU rRNA". It matches the Rfam family "Bacterial small subunit ribosomal RNA", at positions 355 to 774 of the family's 1533-position model. The record is from RNAcentral.